This 255-nucleotide ribosomal RNA is filed under the name uncultured bacterium. Its description in RNAcentral is "partial 16S ribosomal RNA". It matches the Rfam family "Bacterial small subunit ribosomal RNA", at positions 524 to 776 of the family's 1533-position model. The record is from RNAcentral.
UACGUAGGGGGCAAGCGUUAUCCAGAUUUACUGGGCGUAAAGCGCGUGUAGGCGGCUGGUUAGGCGUGAUGUGAAAUCUUCCGGCUCAACCGGAAAACUGCAUUGCGAACCGGCCUGGCUAGAGUGCAGGAGAGGGAAGCGGAAUUCCAGGUGUAGCGGUGAAAUGCGUAGAUAUCUGGAGGAACACCGGUGGCGAAGGCGGCAUCCUGGACCAACACUGACGCUGAGUGAGCGAAAGCCAGGGGAGCAAACGGG